Long non-coding RNA from Arabidopsis thaliana (thale cress), 500 nucleotides. RefSeq annotates it as other RNA. Lineage: Eukaryota; Viridiplantae; Streptophyta; Magnoliopsida; Brassicales; Brassicaceae. The transcript has a single exon. The record is from RefSeq.
GUUGAUUGGCUUGCGUAUAGGCACAAUCCAAGAAGAAACUAUAACUUUAAACUCACAUGGGGUGGGACGUAAUGUGUGCUCGUUUUAGUUCAUUGCUUAAGUCGUUGGUCCACAUAAAGAUAUAUCUUUUGAGAAUCGAAGUGGCAUGAGGACCCAAGAAAAGAAAAAACAAAAGUGCACGUAUGUACUUGUUCGAUACAUACAUAACAAAUAAUAUACUAUCAAUUAUGUAAACUCUUGAAGUGGACUAGCGUACGAUACUGUCCUACCGGUUUCAGAAAUAAAAGUGGUAAAAAGACAUGUCUUCCUCUUGUCGAUCUCUCAUUCGUUGCUCCAUUACGUCUUCCUUUUUUCUCCUCGUAUAAAUGUAUCUAACUUGCGUCUAACAUGCGAACAUGCAAAAAUUGGGUGGCCCAAUAGACUAGCUAAGGCAUACGGCAUACCCAUAACAAUUUGUGAUUAAAAUUGUUGGAAAAUGGCAUUUGCCCAUAACAGUUAAU